CCCCCACUUCUCCUUCUCCCCCUCCCUCUACCUCAUAUUGGAGUCGUGCUGAAAUUAGGCUCUCUUCACAUUUUGUCCAAGGUUUAGAGGUGGAUCAGUGGUAUCUGGGUGUUGUUGGUGCGAAACAUC
Molecule: non-coding RNA, 129 nt
Filed under: Paramoeba aestuarina
Lineage: Eukaryota; Discosea; Flabellinia; Dactylopodida; Paramoebidae
Source: RNAcentral